ACGCAACCUCAGCCGCCAAAUUCCCUUCACAAUUUCAAUUAUCUGCAAAUUACAGUAAACAGUCGGCAAUAAUGGGUUCCUGUACAUGUUUUCUCCUCCUCCCAAUUUCUUUGAAGCCUGCAAAUUCAAACCCUAACUCUGACUUUUCAAAACGACAACACUUUCGCGCUUCAAAAAUCACCUGCUCGUCUAUAACGGCCAAAUCACAAUUUGCUAAACGGGAACUGCUCAAUCUUAUCUCCGAUCAAGAACGAGGCCUUAAAACGCAAAAAGAUCCCACCAAGCUUUCCGCAAUCAUCAAAGCUAUCGAUUCCAUGGCUGUUAUUGGAAGAGAUAUGGUCACCACCGAUGGCUCCCUCUCUGCCACGUGGCGGUUGCUCUGGACCACUGAGAAAGAACAACUAUUCAUCAUCGAGAAAGCCUAUUUGUUUGGAACUCAAGCCGGUGACGUUUUGCAGGUAAUUGAUGUGGAAAAGGGGGUUCUGAACAAUGUAAUUACUUUUCCACCAGAUGGGGUUUUCUUUGUAAGGUCGGAUAUUGAAAUUGCUUCUCCCCAGAGAGUGAAUUUCAGAUUUACCAGCGCAGUUUUGCGGGGAAAAAGUUGGGAAAUUCCGUUGCCACCAUUUGGGGAAGGCUGGUUUGAAUCUGUGUACCUUGAUGAUGAAAUUCGAGUAGUGAAGGAUAUCAGGGGAGAUUAUUUAGUUGUGAACUGCGCUCCUUAUGCUUGGACAGAGUAGAUUUAUAUGGUGACUUCACCUUUUGCUCUACUUCACAGUUACGGGUGUUGAAUGUUUGAAUCUGUUUACGUAGAUGAUGACAUUCGAAUUGCGAAGGAUAUUCGUGGAGAUUAUUUAGUUGUCAAUCGUGCUCCAUACAAAUGGAAAGAGUGAGGUGGUGAUAAAUUGUAUCUUAUCAGUCUCCUGUAGCAAAAUUUUAUUUUGAUCAUCUUACAAAUUCUAAUGUAACCACAAAUAUGUUAUUUAUACUUCUUGCACCCAUAUUUUGUUCUCUAGAUACCAGGAACUGAGAGAAGGUGCCAUAGCUCCUGAAAUUAAACUUUAAAAACUCCUUGGAACUUGAAGUAAAUCAUUGGGAAGAAGAAAGAUUUUCCAGUGAGUCGGUUUUUUGGUGUGGCAUUGUUGAUGCGAUGAGAGGGUUUGAGCUAAACAUCAAUCCGAGCUCAAACAACUUGAAUCAAAUCCACCCUAUUGUUAAUGUUACAUUUGGUAGGCCUGAAAUGAGUAACUCAGGUCCAACAUGUCAUUUUCUUCAUCAAAGUAUUUAUCAUCUCAUUAUACUUUUGAUCUA
RNA transcript from Mangifera indica (mango), 1308 nucleotides. It is a transcript of the gene named probable plastid-lipid-associated protein 11, chloroplastic, with no coding region annotated. The transcript is spliced from 4 exons. Lineage: Eukaryota; Viridiplantae; Streptophyta; Magnoliopsida; Sapindales; Anacardiaceae. The record is from RefSeq and is a predicted model, not a curated record.